CUGGAGGUCUCGCCGGAGUUUUGAAGCAAAUAAGAAUACUGUAGAUAAUUCUCGAGGGCAUCUUGCGGGGGUGCCACCAUUGGAGACGGCGCUAAAUGAGCGGCCGGCGGCAAAGACGACGGUGGAAAAGCAGAGACGAAUUCAGGGAAGUUGAGCUUGGCUUUGCUGCCUCGGAAGCGCAAGGCAGCGCCGUCGUAGGCUCGGGCGGCAGCCUCCGCGGUGUCGAAAGUGCCGAGCCAGACUCGGGCGGCUUUCUGAGGGUCACGGAUUUCGGCAGCCCAUUUUCCCCAUGGCCUCUGUCUUACUCCUCUGUAUCUUCUUGUUUUCUCCACGCCGGAAAAUGCUAUCGUCGUGGUAGCCGCCGUUGUUGCCGCCGUCACGGCGGAGAUAUUGUUACUUGAACUUAAACCUCCUUCUUCUUUUACGAAAAUUGCAGGGGAGGGCAUGGAAUAACUUUGUAUUGCUCUGAAGUCCACAAUUCCACCUCUAUUCCUUUCCCACAUUAUUCCACUUUCUCCUUCUUCUUCCCUCUCUCUUUUCCUACAACCCCCCGCCGUCGCCACCGCUACCGUUGUCGGAGCAGCAGAGCCAGACGAAUAACCAACCCCAGAUGGAUCAGCAGCGCCGCCGGAAAUGACAUGAGUCAAAGCCGAUACCAUGGCCAUUAACUCCCCCGCCGACGACGAGAACAUCCCCUCCAGCUCGUCUCCGCCGCCGUCGCCGCCCUGUUUCGCCAGCUUCAGGUAGCACAUGAAAUCCAGAUAGAAA
RNAcentral lists this unclassified non-coding RNA (768 nucleotides) under Hevea brasiliensis (rubber tree). Lineage: Eukaryota; Viridiplantae; Streptophyta; Magnoliopsida; Malpighiales; Euphorbiaceae. The record is from RNAcentral.